This is a non-coding RNA of Cinara cedri, 528 nucleotides long. NCBI's taxonomy places the organism in Eukaryota, Metazoa, Arthropoda, Insecta, Hemiptera, Aphididae. The record is from the annotation of a GenBank genome assembly.
AUAAAUGUUGAACACAUAUUAGUAUUAAUAGAUAAUUAUUUUUUCAAAUUAAUAAAAACUUGAAAUUGGUAUAAGGUUUCACUAUGUAAAUAAACAAACAUUAUUGAACUGAUUUCCACUAUAAUCUCCAUUCAGAGUGGUUUUUAUAAUCAUCCUUGUCGUUUUCUUUUACGAUUCUAUUAAAAAUAUUAAUGUUAAAAUAAUACUGCAACGAUCAAAUGUAGAGACGAAUACCUACUAUACGUUCUACAUCCUCACGUAUCUAUUUAAAUAUUCUGUAAUUAUUCAUUUUAUUCAUGAAAUACUUCAAAUUAGUUAAAUUUAUUUUGAGGAUAUCAUUUCAAACAAGAAAAAAAUAAAACGCAGAUAUUCUUCUUCUGGUAUUAAGAUUUUCGAUAAGUUAUCAGUAGUUUUCUAUAUGUUUAUCUGCCAAAACUCAAAUCCUUCGAGUAAACUUUUCAUUACCACCUAUCCUUAUAAAAAGUGUGAGGUGUAUAUUAAAUUCUAUCAUUGGUUCACCAAUUUUAU